CUCUGUGACUCCUACGGGAGGCAGCAGUGGGGAAUAUUGCACAAUGGGCGCAAGCCUGAUGCAGCAACGCCGUGUGAGUGAAGAAGGUUUUCGGAUCGUAAAACUCUGUCCUAAGGGAAGAAACAAAUGACGGUACCUUAGGAGGAAGCCCCGGCUAACUACGUGCCAGCAGCCGCGGUAAUACGUAGGGGGCAAGCGUUAUCCGGAAUCACUGGGCGUAAAGGGUGCGUAGGCGGCUUAGCAAGCCAGGGGUGAAAGGCAUUGGCUCAACCAAUGUAAGCCUUUGGAACUGUUAAGCUUGAGUGCAGGAGAGGUAAGUGGAAUUCCUAGUGUAGAGGUGAAAUUCGUAGAUAUUAGGAGGAACACCAGUGGCGAAGGCGACUUACUGGACUGUAACUGACGCUGAUGCGCGAAAGCGUGGGUAGCGAACAGGAUUAGAUACCCUGGUAG
This 450-nucleotide ribosomal RNA is filed under the name uncultured bacterium. RNAcentral describes it as "bacterial SSU rRNA". It matches the Rfam family "Bacterial small subunit ribosomal RNA", at positions 328 to 793 of the family's 1533-position model. The record is from RNAcentral.